UUCAUUUCACCUCCAUGAAAAUCAAAUUUUUUUUUCAUUCGAUUUUCCUUGUUUUCUUUUCAUUUCCUUUCUUUUCUUACUUCUUUCUUCUCCUAACUUCUUGGGCACCAAACCUGCAGCUUCUAACCCCAUUUUCCAGCAAAACCAAACCCUUGGAGAAAGAAGGAAAAAAUCUCUCUUUCUUUCCUUUAUUUUCUAUUUCUACUCUACCAUCACCGACACUUGAAUUUUCAACUUUAAAUCUCCAUUUUUAAGGCUAAAAGGUUUUUGUUAAUCUUUAGGCCUCCAAGUUCACCAAGGUUUUAAUAGUAUUUCGGGACUACUUGGAUUAAGAUCUUGUGGGUGCUAGUCUUGUUAGGUGACAUUGUUAAGGUUUUCUGGUUUGGAGAUGAUUGGAUCGUAGGUCGGGGUGCUCCUUCUUAUCCAUUUUUGGUAGGUUUGCCAUGACACUAUACGGGAGCACCUAAGCCCAGAGUCGCUCCACUGAUGGUCAAGGUCUAAUUAUGUGUAUAUGUAUUCUUGAUAUGAAUUACUAAGAUUAAUUUGGCAAGCUAUCUAAGUAUAUUAUGAUUGAUGAUGCCCUUAUGAGUACAUACUUGGGUUUUAUGAAUUGUUUUUAAAGAAAUUAUUAUUUGAACAUUAUGAA
Theobroma cacao (cacao) is the source of this 646-nucleotide non-coding RNA. NCBI's taxonomy places the organism in Eukaryota, Viridiplantae, Streptophyta, Magnoliopsida, Malvales, Malvaceae. The record is from RefSeq and is a predicted model, not a curated record.